UACGUAGGGGGCGAGCGUUGUCCGGAUUUACUGGGCGUAAAGAGCGUGUAGGCGGCCAGACAGGUCCGUUGUGAAAACUGGAGGCUCAACCUUCAGACGUCGACGGAAACCGUUUGGCUAGAGUCCGGAAGAGGAGAGUGGAAUUCCUGGUGUAGCGGUGAAGUGCGCAGAUAUCAGGAAGAACACCGAUGGCGAAGGCAGCUCUCUGGGACGGUACUGACGCUGAGACGCGAAAGCGUGGGGAGCGAACAGG
Molecule: ribosomal RNA, 253 nt
Filed under: uncultured bacterium
Lineage: Bacteria
Description: partial 16S ribosomal RNA
Rfam family: Bacterial small subunit ribosomal RNA
Source: RNAcentral